GCCAAAAGUAGCUACAGAAGCUAGGCAGGCUUUAAUGCAUUCACAAAUAAUAACAGAUAGUUAUUAUUUUAUAUUAACAGUAAAGCAUGCAGCAAAUUUUGACUUUGAAGUUUUGCCAAAAAUUAAUACAUAGUAAUCUUAUUUUUAAUUUUAUUAUUUAAUUCAUAUUCAGGUGUAUAUACACUCAAUUAAUAGAAAUUAAUAAAUCAUAAUUUUUG
RNAcentral lists this unclassified non-coding RNA (218 nucleotides) under Hevea brasiliensis (rubber tree). Lineage: Eukaryota; Viridiplantae; Streptophyta; Magnoliopsida; Malpighiales; Euphorbiaceae. The record is from RNAcentral.